RNAcentral lists this long non-coding RNA (5973 nucleotides) under Homo sapiens (human). Its description in RNAcentral is "HSALNT0115159". Lineage: Eukaryota; Metazoa; Chordata; Mammalia; Primates; Hominidae. The record is from RNAcentral.
GAAAUAUGGCUAGAAAUGCAUCUUCUGUUCAGUUUGGGAAAAGAAAUAUUCUUUUAGAGUUUUCAACCAAAUGGCAUAAUAUAUCUCGACAUUUAACUUCUGUUUGAUUUUGAAACUCUUAUAUGUUUUCCUUACAGGCAUUUUGGAAGAGUGUGUAUCCUGCUAUGAGAUUCAACUGCAUCAGCUGCCUGGGUGAGGCUAAGAGAAGGCAGGGAGUUGGAUGUUACCAGGAGCGGAGGUAUUUCCAGGUUGGACGAGGAGAGAAGGAGAGGCUGGCAGGAACUCUUUUUCUGGAUCAGGUUGUCUGUAGCCCCAAGACUGAGUGCACACGUUUCCAUCAAGCCAGGCAGAAGGGCCACCAGGUGACCGCAGCAGCCAACCCCAAGGGGUCUCUGGCAGAGCUUUGGGCUUCUCUGCAGAUGUCGAGGUUGGAUUUAUUCUUCCUGCCCUCCUACCGAGCAUGUCUUGGGGAUUAGUGGGAAACUGACUGUAAAGAUCUUUUGCUUCCUUUUUGCAUAUAGCUAUGUAAUCUGACUUCAGGUGAAAAUUUAUGUCUAAGUGGUAAAUGUUUUUGAGAACCCAGUGAGGAUUGUGAAUCCCUUUGCCAGUUUCAUGAUGGAGGGAGUUAACAUGGAUCAUAAAAGGGCUGAAAGAGUGUCUGAGGUUACCUCUACCUUGUAUCACCAUACGAAGUAGCCAACAACUCCAUGAGAUAAGUUUUUCUCCAGCAGCAUCAUUGGAGCUUGCAGCACAAGUUGGAAAAGAUGGGGAAAACCCACUUUUCUCUUAUAUGAAAAUGACUUCUCCCAAUCCUGUUUUGUCUCAGCAUACAAUAUAUAUGGUUGUUAAUUUACUACCCACAGCAUCAUGGACUCAUCCUCUUCCCUGAAUCGCUUGUAAAUAUUUUCUCAAACUGAGUGUAUUUUCCAAUGUUUAUCCAGGUAUCUGCAUAUCCAACUCUUCAUUGUCCCUGGUGCAGGUUAACCAUGCUCUGCAGGGUACCUCUUUAUCCCCUCAGCCUGUCCCAGGCCUCCUGCCAGUGUCCACAGUGCUGUGCGUUGGGUGUCUAAUUCCACCUCCCCCUGAGAGGUAGGUGGCCAGCCACCCCUAGGAGAAGCUGACACCAAGGGUGGCCAUAUGGGGGGAAGGAAGAGGUUGGUGCUGGUUACCUCCCACCUUGGACUAUGUUCAUUUCUCUUUUCCUUACUGCAGGUCACUGACAUGUGAACACAUGCUCCUAACAAGUUGACCCCAGUCUUGCUGAAAUUGCCUAGACUGUAUUAUUUUCUUCCCCAUACUUGACAUAGAGCAUAAGCUGAGAGGUACAUAAUACAUGCCAUAAUUUAUGACGGUGCUUAGGUAAAGCCAUGCAAACUCGUCUAUCAUUGCCAGGUUCAUUUCCAGUGGUGUUCAUUGAAGGUAAGUUGACUCAUUUAUACAAAACAAUUCCCUCAUUUCCCUUUGAGCAAUUGUCAAGUGUGCUUGACGCAGGCCAAGUGACCUUCAAAUGCGGAGUGGGGUUUGGCCUGGAAUGUCAGUGUGCAUUUGGCAGCAUGAAUUGCUCCAAAGAAUCCUGAUUUCUUAUGCAUGAACUGCUGACCCCAGCACUGGGGCCUGGAGAGCGGGACGGGAAGGAAGGUGAACUCCUGCUGAUUCAGGGGCCCUCCCAGCAGCCUUUCCACGGUGUCAGCAGUAUUCACAUCACUUUCCUCUCCUCCCUCUUCCGCCCCACCGUAAGUCCUGUCCCUGGAAGCACUUUUCAGUUGCCAGGAAUCAUGAACAUUAGGAAACAAUCCAAAAAAACGGGGUGUCUACUUUAUAUUCUGUGGCCCACACGGUCACACAUGGGCCUGGUUUUAACACCGGGUCAUAGGUGUGGAAACAGCCUGGCCUAGAGGAAGGAACACUGAACCAGUGAGAGAGGCCUUCAGUGACUCCAGGACCAAGCAAGUGUGUGGCCUGGAGGCUGGCCUUUCUAAGAGGCCUGUCUCGGUGGAAACGGAGGAAUGUUCUACUGCUGGCUUUCCAGAGCGCUCCUCUAGCCCCACUACUUGGAGCGAUGCUUCCCGGUGUUGAAGCUGCAGAUCUAAGGACCAUGUUUCUUCAAACACAACCAGGCCUCUAGGGCAAGAUCGUUUCCAGGAGAUGUAAUGAAAUAUGAAGGAAAACGCCCAGCAGGCAACAUGCCUGCCUGCUGAGGAUCACAGGAAACAGCCUUACUACCAAUCUACCAAUACUGGGCCCUGAGCUGGAGAAACAGCUCCUUUUUUCAUUUCAAAAUAUCACUAAUGUUCCAUGGUGCAGGACAUAUUUCAAAUGCCUCAAUUGGAAAAAACAGGCUCCAAAGGCAUCACGGUGUGCCUGUGGCUCUUGUCUGUGCUAGGCAGCAGCACAAGGGCCUGCUCAUUAGCUCACUGAUGACAGGUUUAUCCGCAACUGUAUAUCAAGCAAUGAGAAAGUCAGCUGUGCGAGCAAACGUCCCUCAGUCAUAUUGCACAAAGCCUUCGUAAAGGGAUAGAGUGCUGAAAGCCUCCUAACUCCUCUCUAGCUGAACAUCUUUUCCCCUCCGCUACCUCUGAACCUCUCAUCCUUCCAACUCAGCUCAAGAACGCAGAAGCUGUUUGCCGACCCCUUCUGCUAGUGUCCUGUCCUUGGUAAUUCAAAGACGCCCCCGGGAUGGCCCACAAAGAGCCCUGUGUGCAUGCACACGCGCCACUGUCACUGAUAAGGCCACUGGGUGGUGAGCGGUUCUUUUCACACUUCACAUCCAGAGGCUUUUCCUGUGAUUUGUGUGUGAAGCACCUGUUUGCAUGGUCCGUCCACCCUUAUCUGAGAUUCUGCCUCUUAGGCACCAGGGCAGGUUGAAGCCUUUUUCACCCACUUACAAAGCAACAGCUUAUUCCUGAGAAGUGUGUCAAGCUGGUAUGUCCACUGUGCUCCCCAGACUCACCAAUAAGAUCACUGACUUAAUUGUUUUCUGCCCCUUACUUUUAGAAGAAAGAAGUUAGGCAAUCUAAAGGAGUCAAACUGAUAAUGUUGCUUUUGAAAAAAAGUAAACAAAUAAUAAAACAUCUCCCAGAGUGUAUGGGGUCCAAAACACAUUUAACCCAGUUUCUCACACUUUCCAUAUGAACAUUUACUCAAUAAUCCUACGUGAUGUUUAGAAUGAAUAAUUACUGUGGGGCCCCUCAUCAAACAUCAGAAAGAGACCAAUAGGUUCGAUAUUUUGCCGUAAAGCAGGAAAUUGAACUAAGUAUCAAGAAAUAAAUACCAACAGAGAGAAUAACAAAGGAAGGAAGGAGGGAUUAAUUGUCAUUGUUAGAGAAAAACUCAUUUUCUGAUGAUGAUGGUCAAGACCUUAUCUUAUAAUCCUCCUAACUAUAGCCUCCUUUUCUUUGCAUUGGGUACCCAACAUCCAUUAUGACUGUUGUCUCCAGAAGCCCAGAGACAUUCAUCUUUUUGCUCUCCUUUCACUGAUGAGGAGACUGGACGUCACGUGAUAAUUCAGCUGCCCAGUCUUAUGGCAAGCGAGAGAGACCUAUUUUGAACUGAGGCAUGCUGGACUUCAAAGUCCAUGUUCUUGCUCUUAGAGCAAGUCUCUAAAACAAGAUUUUCACUAAUUCUUAACAAUUUAUUGAGUUCAGCAGUUACUGAGCAUCUAUCAUGUCUUGGCAGUGAUAGGGAAUACAGAUAUAAAAAAGUUACAGCCCUACCUUCACUUGAGCCAAAAAUAUUUUUCUUUAGGGAAUCUUUAGAACAAACACUUUCAGAAAAUUUUUCUAAUUGAGCUUGAGAUGUUGACUUGACUCUCAUUUUUAAAACUAACUAAUUGGCUAUCAAAAUGGCAACACUUACAAGAUAAUGCUUUCUGUAUUUCUUCAUGCAUUUAACUCCCUAACUAAUGAAAAACUUCAUGAUAUUUUCUCCCAAAGGAGGGGAUAGAAGUGUCUUUUCUUCUCACACUGUGAAGACAAGUAAACGUAAUUUAGUUUCAAUACAGUUAUAUUAGCUUUAGAUAAUAAUGAGCUAUUGCCAUAUAUCAGACCACAAAAAAAGAACCAAAACUAAACAUUAAUACAAGGUAUGUUUUUAUUUCUAUUAUACUUUAAGUUCUGGGAUACAUGUGCAGAAUUUGCAGGUUUGUUACAUAAGUAUACACGUGCCAUGGUGGUUUGCUGCACCCAUCAACCCAUCAUCUACAUUAGGUAUUUCUCCUAAUGCUAUUCCUCCCCUAGCCCUCCACCCCCCAACAGGCCCCAGUGUGCGAUGUUCCCCUCCCUGUGUCCAUGUGUUCUCAUUGUUCAAUGUGUAACAGAGUUGGAGUAUGGCUUCUAAAAAUCAUAAUUUCAUAUGCAUAAUGGCAAUUGCUAGACAAGAAUUCUGUAACUAGAGCUAGUUACAUGAGCAAAAACUGCCUCAUAGUUCAGGUUGCAAAGUGGGCAGCCAUUAUAGCCCAGAAGACACUCCCAGAAGAAAUUGGUGAGCUAACUUUGUAUAUUUAUGAACAUUUUUGGUAUUUUCAGUCUUUCCGAAGCACCUGGUGAUGGCCAGUGUGGAAGACUAGGUGGAGCAUGACAAGAUCAUUGUCUGUAAGCACUCACUGUGCUGUUUCUAGAAGACGCUUCUGUAGGUGAAUAAAGAGCCAGACUUCUCAAGACCUGUCUUCACCUGCUGUCUCCACCUCCUGUUCACCACUCAACCCAUUCCAUGUGGCUGUUGCCCUCAUCAUCCUAUUAAAACCAGCUGCAAUAAUCUCCAUGUACCCCAGUUGGCUGAGCUGAUCCUUAGGAGACGAGGAGGCACAAUCACAGCUCACGUCCUCAGCUUCUCUCUGCCUCCUGCCCGCCCAUUCUCUCCCUCUUCACCUUUAUCCAGUUGUCCUUCUUCAAACCCACUUUGGGGGUUUUCUUUUCCAUCCUCUGGUGGCCCUGAUGUUUGCUUGCUAGUUAAGUGAUUUAUACAUUCCAGGCUGGAUCCAAGACAGUGUGGAAUGAAAACCAAAUGCAAAUUGGCUAGAAGGAAGGGCCAGAAUAAACACAAACUGAAGACCCCAAACCAACGGUGUCCAAGCUUGUGCAUGUAUCUGCGCUGUCCCCAUGGGGCCUUCCAACUCUGCUCAAAGCAAUCUCCAGGGCUGUUCUCCAAGGACAAUGGAUCCGAAUUCCAGUGAAAUAGCUGAUGCCAACCAGUUUGAAGACUCCCAUAAUGCAGUGGAAUCAGCAUGAGAAUACAGUUUCUUCAUCUCCCUGUCCCAUGACUUCACCCUGCGCUCUGACCAAUCAGUGACCUCCACACUUUGGCCCACCCCAAAACUCUAAAAAAUCCUAGCUCCAAACUCCUCAGGGAAAUGGAUUUAAGGUUUCCUCCUGUCCCUUCAUUCAGCAGCCUUAUGAUUAAACCUCUUUCUCUGUUGCAACCUGAUGUCUCAGUGUAUUGACUUGCUGUGUGCAUCGAGCAACAGAACUAUUAAGGUGACAUCUGGCUGCUGUAUAGAUGGAUUAUUUCAUUAGUAGCACUGAGGUGGGUAGGGAUUGGGAAGGCUGAAGGGUGCCCAGAAAGAGACACCUUGAAUAGGGAAGUGCUUUCCUAAAGCCAGUGGGGUUCAGAACAUAUUACCCCAAAGCAUGCCAACUUCAGAGCAAAAAGGGCUUUCUGACCUUCCACUGCCCUUCUUUCCUGAAGCAGGUCAUAAAAUCUAGGAAGAAUUUCCUGACCCUCCCCUGAGGCAGGUCAUAUGGCACCCAAGUAAGAGGUGCCCACCCAGAGGAAAGGAGCAUUCUCAUCUCUGAGGAUGUUAGGGACACAGAGAAGAAUCUGAACAAAUACAUAUUGCAAAGUGAUAUGGUUUGGCUGUGUCGCUACCCAAAUCUCAUCUUGAAUUGUAGCUCCCAUAAUUCCCAUGUGUUGUGGGAGGGACCUAGUGGGAGGUAAUUGAAUCAUGGGGGCAGUUUCCCCCAUACUGUUCUUGUGGUA